RNAcentral lists this ribosomal RNA (406 nucleotides) under uncultured prokaryote. Its description in RNAcentral is "bacterial SSU rRNA". It matches the Rfam family "Bacterial small subunit ribosomal RNA", at positions 355 to 776 of the family's 1533-position model. The record is from RNAcentral. RNAcentral also lists the same sequence under 1 other name.
UGGGGAAUAUUGCACAAUGGGCGGAAGCCUGAUGCAGCAACGCCGCGUGAAGGAAGAAGGUUUUCGGAUCGUAAACUUCUGUCCCUGGGGAAGAAAUAAAUGACGGUACCCAAGGAGGAAGCCCCGGCUAACUACGUGCCAGCAGCCGCGGUAAUACGUAGGGGGCGAGCGUUAUCCGGAAUUACUGGGCGUAAAGAGUGCGUAGGUGGUUAUGCAAGCGCGGGGUAUAAGGCUAGGGCCUAACCGUAGUUCGCCCCGCGAACUGCGUAACUUGAGUACAGGAGGGGAAAGCGGAAUUCCUAGUGUAGCGGUGAAAUGCGUAGAUAUUAGGAGGAACACCAGUGGCGAAGGCGGCUUUCUGGACUGCAACUGACACUGAGGCACGAAAGCGUGGGUAGCAAACAGG